UAUGAGUAUCAGAAUAUGCAAUAGAGGAUUACUGAAGUGGAAGUGGAUGCGUACCUGAUCAGCAAACGGCAACGCGCUAUCACAAAAUGAGAUUAGUGCAUAGUAAUGAACAUAAAGUAUGUCACUCAUGUCACCAAAACAGAUAAAGAAGCACCAAUAGCACGCAUGAUAUUUCAUUCAAAAUUCAUUUUUAUUUUAAAGCAAAUUUAUUUGAUGUAGGGCCCCCACCAAAGCCCGUUUAUUUUGCAUGAACCAAAUCCGUAAAUUCCAUCAUUAGGAAUUACAAAAUUUGAUUCUUG
Molecule: long non-coding RNA, 299 nt
Filed under: Vitis vinifera (wine grape)
Lineage: Eukaryota; Viridiplantae; Streptophyta; Magnoliopsida; Vitales; Vitaceae
Description: long non-coding RNA (VVIN_LNC000511)
Source: RNAcentral